UAGGGAAUCUUCCGCAAUGGGCGAAAGCCUGACGGAGCAACGCCGCGUGAGUGAUGAAGGUCUUCGGAUCGUAAAACUCUGUUAUUAGGGAAGAACAAACGUGUAAGUAACUAUGCACGUCUUGACGGUACCUAAUCAGAAAGCCACGGCUAACUACGUGCCAGCAGCCGCGGUAAUACGUAGGUGGCAAGCGUUAUCCGGAAUUAUUGGGCGUAAAGCGCGCGUAGGCGGUUUUUUAAGUCUGAUGUGAAAGCCCACGGCUCAACCGUGGAGGGUCAUUGGAAACUGGAAAACUUGAGUGCAGAAGAGGAAAGUGGAAUUCCAUGUGUAGUAGUGAAAUGCGCAGAGAUAUGGAGGAACACCAGUGGCGAAGGCGACUUUCUGGUCUGUAACUGACGCUGAUGUGCGAAAGCGUGGGGAUCAAACAGG
This 429-nucleotide ribosomal RNA is filed under the name Actinomycetes bacterium. RNAcentral's name for it is "Actinobacteria bacterium partial 16S ribosomal RNA". It matches the Rfam family "Bacterial small subunit ribosomal RNA", at positions 355 to 776 of the family's 1533-position model. Lineage: Bacteria; Bacillati; Actinomycetota; Actinomycetes. The record is from RNAcentral.